Molecule: ribosomal RNA, 365 nt
Filed under: uncultured marine Chaetocerotaceae
Lineage: Eukaryota; Bacillariophyta; Thalassiosirophyceae; Chaetocerotales; Chaetocerotaceae
Description: SSU rRNA
Rfam family: Eukaryotic small subunit ribosomal RNA
Source: RNAcentral
AGCUCCAAUAGCGUAUAUUAAAGUUGCUGCAGUUAAAAAGCUCGUAGUUGCAUUUCCGAGGCAAGGGAUUAGUCCGACCUUUGGUGGGUAUUUAAUCCUCUUGCCUCGUCCUUGAGUGGUGCUUCUUGGUAUUAAGUUAUCGAGGAGAUAGCCGCUCAUCGUUUACUGUGAGAAAAUUAGAGUGUUCAAAGCAGGCUUAUGCCGUUGAAUAUAUUAGCAUGGAAUAAUAAGAUAGGACCUCGGUACUAUUUUGUUGGUUUGAGAACCAAGGUAAUGAUGAAUAGGGACAGUUGGGGGUAUUCGUAUUCAGUUGUCAGAGGUGAAAUUCUUAACUACUGCGAAAGCAUUUACCAAGGAUGUUUUCA